CCGUAACCACAGACUCAUGUAAAGGGACGUGCCACACCAGUGCAAAUUGUCUACUGAACGUAGCAGAUAAUUCAUAUUACUGUAGAUGUGCAGCUGGUUACCAGGGCAACGGUACAUACUGUACAGCGGUGAACGCUUGCGCGAAGGAUAAUGGCGGAUGCUCCUCCAGCGCUGUGUGUAAGAUAACUAUCCCUGGACG
Electrophorus electricus (electric eel) is the source of this 199-nucleotide long non-coding RNA. RefSeq lists it as uncharacterized. The record is from RefSeq and is a predicted model, not a curated record. Lineage: Eukaryota; Metazoa; Chordata; Actinopteri; Gymnotiformes; Gymnotidae.